CAACAGGGAUUGCCUUAGUAACGGCGAGUGAAGCGGCAAAAGCUCAGAUUUGAAAUCUAGCGUCUUAUAGGCGUUCGAGUUGUAAUCUGUAGAGAAGUUAUCGAGUGUGGAUUUGGCCUAAGUUCUUUGGAACAGGACGUCAUAGAGGGUGAGAACCCCGUAUACGGCCUUGGUCUUAUACUCAUGUGAGGCUUCUUCAACGAGUCGAGUUGUUUGGGAAUGCAGCUCUAAAUGGGUGGUAAACUCCAUCUAAAGCUAAAUACUGGCAAGAGACCGAUAGCGCACAAGUAGAGUGAUCGAAAGAUGAAAAGAACUCUGAACAGAGAGUUAAAUAGUACGUGAAAUUGUUGAAAGGGAAGCACUUGCUACCAGACUCGCUUGCAGUUAAUCAACUAUCCUUCUGGGUGGUGCACUUUUCUGUAGGCGGGCCAGCAUCAGUUGUGUUGGUGGGAUAAAGGCAGUUGGAAUGUGGCUCUCCUCGGAGAGUGUUAUAGACUUCUGUGUAAUACCAUCUAACGCGACUGAGUCAGCGC
This 533-nucleotide ribosomal RNA is filed under the name Iodophanus carneus. RNAcentral's name for it is "eukaryotic LSU rRNA". It matches the Rfam family "Eukaryotic large subunit ribosomal RNA", at positions 66 to 600 of the family's 3401-position model. Lineage: Eukaryota; Fungi; Ascomycota; Pezizomycetes; Pezizales; Pezizaceae. The record is from RNAcentral.